GCCUGGGUGGCUCAGUCGGUGGGGCAUUCGACUUUGGCUCAGGUCACGAUCUCACUCUCCGUGGGUUCGAGCCCCACGUCAGGCU
This 85-nucleotide transfer RNA is filed under the name Felis catus (domestic cat). It matches the Rfam family "tRNA". Rfam says of the family: Transfer RNA (tRNA) molecules are approximately 80 nucleotides in length. Their secondary structure includes four short double-helical elements and three loops (D, anti-codon, and T loops). Lineage: Eukaryota; Metazoa; Chordata; Mammalia; Carnivora; Felidae. RNAcentral also lists the same sequence under 3 other names. The record is from Rfam by way of RNAcentral.